This 468-nucleotide ribosomal RNA is filed under the name uncultured bacterium. Its description in RNAcentral is "partial 16S ribosomal RNA". It matches the Rfam family "Bacterial small subunit ribosomal RNA", at positions 28 to 507 of the family's 1533-position model. The record is from RNAcentral.
GAUGAACGCUGGCGGCGUGCUUAACACAUGCAAGUCGAACGGUGAAGGCGGAGCUUGCUCUGCUGGAUCAGUGGCGAACGGGUGAGUAACACGUGAGCAAUCUGCCCCUGACUCUGGGAUGAGCGCUGGAAACGGCGUCUAAUACUGGAUACGAGCUGCGAAGGCAUCUUCAGCAGCUGGAAAGAACUUCGGUCAGGGAUGAGCUCGCGGCCUAUCAGCUUGUUGGUGAGGUAACGGCUCACCAAGGCGUCGACGGGUAGCCGGCCUGAGAGGGUGACCGGCCACACUGGGACUGAGACACGGCCCAGACUCCUACGGGAGGCAGCAGUGGGGAAUAUUGCACAAUGGGCGAAAGCGUGAUGCAGCAACGCCGCGUGAGGGACGACGGCCUUCGGGUUGUAAACCUCUUUUAGCAGGGAAGAAGCGAAAGUGACGGUACCUGCAGAAAAAGCGCCGGCUAACUACGUG